Helianthus annuus (common sunflower) is the source of this 248-nucleotide long non-coding RNA. RefSeq lists it as uncharacterized. The transcript has 3 exons. Lineage: Eukaryota; Viridiplantae; Streptophyta; Magnoliopsida; Asterales; Asteraceae. The record is from RefSeq and is a predicted model, not a curated record.
AACAAAGGGGAUUUCCCCUCAAACCCUAAAGUUCACAAAAAUCCAUCAAUUGAAGGUGCAAAUCGAGUCCGAAUUGAAAUCUGAAUAUAGAUUUGUGAUCACCUUGACUAAGGGAUCGUAAGGCAACACGAGUGAGGCGUCGGGAAGUCAAGCCGGUGCGGACGCUCGCCAAAAGGGAAAGCUCUAAGCUUUCAAGUAAGUCAAUCAAGCGGAUGGUGAUCAACACAAGACUUAUGAACCGAACACAC